AAACCUCACAUGGUUUGCAACAAACACAAUUCAUCCCACAAAUGAAAAAAAUAAAUCAACAGUUAUCACCAUACAUCAAAACAGAAUCAAAAUGCCCUAAGAGUCAUGGAUCUAUACAAAGGCAAAACGCAUAAACCAACCGGAUCUGCAGUGUAUAAGGUAUGCCUUAUCGUUUCCCCUUGCUCUGCUUUCUUCUUGUCCUAAUCCCUGGUUCUUCUUCUUGUGCAAUUUUCUUUCAUUUUGCCAGGGUUGCUAUCAAGGUGGUGGUUUUUAGCUCAAACUUGUUGAGAUUCAGUGUGAAAUCUCAACAAGCUUAGAAAUUUUAGAGCUC
Molecule: long non-coding RNA, 331 nt
Filed under: Lathyrus oleraceus (garden pea)
Lineage: Eukaryota; Viridiplantae; Streptophyta; Magnoliopsida; Fabales; Fabaceae
Description: Pisum sativum (pea) long non-coding RNA (PSAT_LNC039121)
Source: RNAcentral